AGCUGAAUGAGUGUCCUAACUUGAUUCUUAGAGCAGGCUGUCCCAAGUCAGGGUGGAGGGGGCGGCAUCACUGAGCUCUCGGCGCCAUGGUGGCAGUAUGAGCUAUGGCGGCAGUGGAGAGCAGGCAGCCGACCUGCCCGGACUCCAGCCGCAACGCAAUGCCGUAAGGAUCCUGCCUCUCCAGUAUUGCCGCGGUGUGCUUCC
Procavia capensis (Cape rock hyrax) is the source of this 204-nucleotide non-coding RNA. The record is from Rfam. NCBI's taxonomy places the organism in Eukaryota, Metazoa, Chordata, Mammalia, Hyracoidea, Procaviidae.